Molecule: ribosomal RNA, 460 nt
Filed under: uncultured bacterium
Lineage: Bacteria
Description: SSU rRNA
Rfam family: Bacterial small subunit ribosomal RNA
Source: RNAcentral
AGAACGAACGCUGGCGGCAUGCCUAACACAUGCAAGUCGAACGCUCUUGGGGCUUCGGUUCCAAGGGAGUGGCGCACGGGUGAGUAGCGCGUGGGAACCUGCCCUGGAGUGGGGGAUAACCGAGGGAAAACUUCGGCUAAUACCGCAUACGCCGGGAAACCGGGAAAGAUUUAUCGCUCUAGGAGGGGCCCGCGUCGGAUUAGGUAGUUGGUGGGGUAACGGCUUACCAAGCCUGUGAUCCGUAGCUGGUCUGAGAGGAUGAUCAGCCACACUGGGACUGAGACACGGCCCAGACUCCUACGGGAGGCAGCAGUGGGGAAUAUUGGACAAUGGGCGCAAGCCUGAUCCAGCAAUGCCGCGUGAGUGAUGAAGGCCUUCGGGUUGUAAAGCUCUUUCGCACGCGAGGAUGAUGACGCUAGCGUGAGAAGAAGCCCCGGCUAACUUCGUGCCAGCCAGCCGC